UGGGGAAUAUUGGACAAUGGGGGCAACCCUGAUCCAGCCAUGCCGCGUGCGUGAAGAAGGCCUUAGGGUUGUAAAGCGCUUUCACUGGUGAAGAUGAUGACGGUAGCCAGAGAAGAAGCCCCGGCUAACUCCGUGCCAGCAGCCGCGGUAAUACGGAGGGGGCGAGCGUUGUUCGGAAUUACUGGGCGUAAAGGGCGCGUAGGCGGAACGUCAAGUUAGGGGUGAAAGGCCUGGGCUCAACCUAGGAACGGCCUCUAAAACUGACGAUCUAGAGUCCGGAAGAGGAUGGCGGAAUUCCCAGUGUAGAGGUGAAAUUCGUAGAUAUUGGGAAGAACACCGGUGGCGAAGGCGGCCAUCUGGUCCGGUAUUGACGCUGAGGCGCGAAAGCCAGGGGAGCAA
This 399-nucleotide ribosomal RNA is filed under the name uncultured bacterium. RNAcentral's name for it is "bacterial SSU rRNA". It matches the Rfam family "Bacterial small subunit ribosomal RNA", at positions 355 to 771 of the family's 1533-position model. The record is from RNAcentral.